AUUAUGCUUUCUCAUCUUGAAACCUAUGUCUUACCUAAUAUCAAAAUUUUGGAAGAAAGUGGAUUGCCAAAAUCAAGUAUAGCUUGGCUACUAAGAUAUCAACCAGCAACGUUUAUGACAAGCUCAAAUCGAUUUUCUGAGAUUGUAGAAGAAGUGAAGGGAAUGGGUUUGAAUCCUUUGUCAGUGAACUUUGUUGCUGCAAUCCAUGCAGUAAGGGCAAUGAGCACAUCAACAUGGAAAAGUAAAAUUGAUAUUUAUAAGAAGUGGGGUUGGUCUGAUGAAGAGAUUCUAGUGGCUUUUGGGAAGCAUCCAUGGUGUAUGAUGGGUUCUGAGAAAAAGAUUACGGCAGCCAUGGAUUUCUAUAUCAACAAAAUGGGUUGGUAUUCUUCAUAUAUUGCACAACAUCCAGUACUAAUAUCACUGGGCUUGGAUAAGAGGAUUGUGCCACGGUGUUCAGUUAUCCAGGUUCUGCUGUCAAAAGGUCUGAUGAAGCAGACUAGGUUUUCUUCACCAUUGAUAAUUUCUGAAGAAUCGUUCCUGCAUAAGUUCGUGACACCUUAUGAGGAGGAAGUUCCACAUCUGUUGAAGUUAUAUCGGGAGAAGUUGGAAAUUGCAAAAUGUAAGGAUAUGGAGAAAGGGAGCUAAGACAUUUGUUGGGGCAAUUAUGGAAAUGGCAUGCCAGCUUGCCAAUCCUUUAAUUGUUAUAAUUAUUCCUAUUUCUACAAUUUGGUCCAAUUAACGACAAUGGUUUUGAGUUUGUUUAAGUCUGAUCAUAUAUUUGAUUGGUACUUGCAUAAGUUUUUUUUUUUUGUCGUUGAUGAUGAGGAUGACAACUCUAGGAUUAACGGGGUUAUGUGCCAUGUUUCCUUUUGCAUGAUAGUAUGUUGGCUGCAACAGAUUAUUUUCCAUCAAAUCAAGUUUAUGAAUGGAUUUAAAAAGGGGUGGGAGUCAUUAUUUUGUUUAGUAAUUUGGUUGAGUCUUUGAAUCGAGAUCUUUUUGAAAUGUAUGCAGGACUGCUAGCUUACAUUGAAGUAAUAAUUUCAUUGAUUCCUAACCCUAAAUCUUGGCUCAUUUCAUGUGUUAUUCUCCGCCACAAAAUAGACAUUGAUUAAGGUCAUAAUAUUAGUAAUUGUUAUCCUGGUGACUUUUGUGACAAUGUUUUACUUUAUCAAAGGAGUCGCUGGAGAUGUUGAAGAGCUGGCUAAACAUUUCAUUGGGAAAGAGAUGGCUUUCUUCUUCUUCUUCUUCU
RNAcentral lists this unclassified non-coding RNA (1249 nucleotides) under Hevea brasiliensis (rubber tree). The record is from RNAcentral. Lineage: Eukaryota; Viridiplantae; Streptophyta; Magnoliopsida; Malpighiales; Euphorbiaceae.